This is a long non-coding RNA of Sinocyclocheilus anshuiensis, 72 nucleotides long. RefSeq lists it as uncharacterized. The record is from RefSeq and is a predicted model, not a curated record. The transcript has 3 exons. NCBI's taxonomy places the organism in Eukaryota, Metazoa, Chordata, Actinopteri, Cypriniformes, Cyprinidae.
ACACUUUUUUUUUAUUCUUUAUUUCACCAUAAACGAGAGAUAAAUGAGCCAUGAGUAGAAUAUAAAUAGUAA